AGGACGAACGCUGGCGGCGUGCUUAACACAUGCAAGUCGAGCGGAAAGGCCCUUCGGGGUACUCGAGCGGCGAACGGGUGAGUAACACGUGAGCAACCUGCCCUUAGCUCCGGGAUAGCUCCGGGAAACCGGAAUUAAUACCGGAUAUGACCUAGGCCGACAUCGGCUGUGGUGGAAAGUUUUUCGGCUGGGGAUGGACUCGCGGCCUAUCAGCUUGUUGGUGGGGUAAUGGCCUACCAAGGCGACGACGGGUAGCCGGCCUGAGAGGGCGACCGGCCACACUGGGACUGAGACACGGCCCAGACUCCUACGGGAGGCAGCAGUGGGAAUCUUGCGCAAUGGGCGAAAGCCUGACGCAGCGACGCCGCGUGGGGGAUGAAGGCCUUCGGGUUGUAAACCCUUUCAGCAGGGACGAAGCGAAAGUGACGGUACCUGCAGAAGAAGCGCCGGCUAACUACGUGCCAGCAGCCGC
This 472-nucleotide ribosomal RNA is filed under the name uncultured bacterium. RNAcentral's name for it is "SSU rRNA". It matches the Rfam family "Bacterial small subunit ribosomal RNA", at positions 26 to 518 of the family's 1533-position model. The record is from RNAcentral.